Molecule: ribosomal RNA, 497 nt
Filed under: uncultured bacterium
Lineage: Bacteria
Description: partial 16S ribosomal RNA
Rfam family: Bacterial small subunit ribosomal RNA
Source: RNAcentral
GAUGAACGCUGGCGGCGUGCCUAAUACAUGCAAGUCGAGCGAACAGACGAGGAUCUUGCUCCUCUGACGUUAGCGGCGGACGGGUGAUUAACACGUGGAUAACCUACCUAUAAGACUGGGAUAACUUCGGGAAACCGGAUCUAAUACCGGAUAACAUGUUGAACCGCAUGGUUCAACGGUGAAAGACGUUCUUGCUGUCACUUAUAGAUGGAUCCGCGCCGCAUUAGCUAGUUGGUAAGGUAACGGCUUACCAAGGCAACGAUGCGUAGCCGACCUGAGAGGGUGAUCGGCCACACUGGAACUGAGACACGGCCCAGACUCCUACGGGAGGCAGCAGUAGGGAAUCUUCCGCAAUGGGCGAAAGCCUGACGGAGCAACGCCGCGUGAGUGAAGAAGGUCUUCGGAUCGUAAAACUCUGUUAUUAGGGAAGAACAAAUGUGUAAGUAACUAUGCACGUCUUGACGGUACCUAAUCAGAAAGCCACGGCUAACUACGUG